AACGAACGCUAGCGGGAUGCCUCAAACAUGCAAGUCGAACGCGAAAGGUAGCAAUACCGAGUAGAGUGGCGCACGGGUGCGUAACACGUAGCUAACGUCCCCUUUUGCUGUGGAUAACUCCGGGAAACCGGAGCUAAUACAGAAUAAGCUGAUUUUUACUAUGGUUUAAAUCAGCAAAGCCGUAAGGCGCGAAAGGAUCGGGUUGCGUCCUAUUAGCUAGUUGGUGGGGUAACGGCUCACCAAGGCUACGAUAGGUAGCUGGUCUGAGAGGAUGAUCAGCCACACUGGAACUGAAAUACGGUCCAGACUCCCACGGGAGGCAGCAGUUGGGAAUAUUGCGCAAUGGGGGAAACCCUGACGCAGCAAUCCCGCGUGAGUGACGAAGGCCUUUGGGUCGUAAAGCUCUUUUAGUAGGGACGAAGGGAAACUUGACGGUACCUACAGAAAAAGCACCGGCUAACUACGUGCCAGCAGCCGCGGUAAUACGUAGGGUGCAAGCGUUGUUCGGAAUUAUUGGGCGUAAAGCGCGUGUAGGCGGCUACUUAAGUCUGGUGUGAAAUCCUGGGGCUUAACCCCAGAAGUGCACUGGAUACUGAGUGGCUAGAGGACAAGAGAGGAAAUUGGAAUUCCUGGUGUAGGGGUGAAAUCCGUAGAUAUCAGGAGGAACAUCGAAGGCGAAGGCAGAUUUCUGGCUUGUUACUGACGCUAAGACGCUAAAGCGUGGGGAGCAAACAGGAUUAGAUACCCUGGUAGUCCACGCCCUAAACGAUGGAUACUAGUUGUUAGGUCUCUACUGAUCUAGUGACGCAGCUAACGCGAUAAGUAUCCCGCCUGGGAAGUACGGUCGCAAGAUUAAAACUCAAAGGAAUUGACGGGGGCCCGCACAAGUGGUGGAGUAUGUGGUUUAAUUCGAUGCUACGCGAAAAACCUUACCUGGGCUUGACAUCCCGUGCUAACCUAUGAAAGUAGGCGUUCCCUUCGGGGACGCGGUGACAGGUGCUGCAUGGCUGUCGUCAGCUCGUGUUGUGAGAUGUUGGGUUAAGUCCCGCAACGAGCGCAACCCUCGUUCUUAGUUACCAUCAUUAAGUUGGGCACUCUAAGAAUACCGCUUGGCUAUAAGCCAGAGGAAGGCGGGGAUGACGUCAAGUCCUCAUGGCCUUUAUGCCCAGGGCUACACACGUACUACAAUGGAUGAUACAAAGCGCCGCUAGACUGCGAAGUUCGGCUUAAUCGCAAAAAAUCAUCCUCAGUUCGGAUUGGAGUCUGCAACUCGACUCCAUGAAGCUGGAAUCACUAGUAAUCGUUGAUCAGCAUGCAACGGUGAAUGCGUUCCCGGGCC
This 1339-nucleotide ribosomal RNA is filed under the name uncultured delta proteobacterium. Its description in RNAcentral is "bacterial SSU rRNA". It matches the Rfam family "Bacterial small subunit ribosomal RNA", at positions 28 to 1380 of the family's 1533-position model. Lineage: Bacteria; Deltaproteobacteria. The record is from RNAcentral.